AGAGUUUGAUCCUGACUCAGAACGAACGCUGGCGGCGUGCCUAACACAUGCAAGUCCAACGUGAAAGGGGAGCAAUCCCCCGGUAGGGUGGCAAACGGGUGAGUAAUACAUGGGUGAUCUACCUUAGGGAUGGGGAUAUCCUUCCGAAAGGAGGGGCAAUACCGAAUAUUGUCCGGAGCCGUGAAGGGUUCCGGGGAAAGGGAGGCCUCUGAUACAAGCUUUCGCCUUAAGAUGAGCCCAUGGCCCAUCAGCUAGUUGGUAGGGUAAAGGCCUACCAAGGCUACGACGGGUCGCUGGUCUGAGAGGACGACCAGCCACACUGGCACUGAGAUACGGGCCAGACUCCUACGGGAGGCAGCAGUGAGGAAUAUUGCGCAAUGGGGGAAACCCUGACGCAGCAACGCCGCGUGUGGGAAGAAGGCCUUCGGGUCGUAAACCACUUUUGCACGGGACGAAAAAGGGAUAUCGAACAAAUAUCCCCGAUGACGGUACCGUGAGAAUAAGCCACGGCUAACUCUGUGCCAGCAGCCGCGGUAAGACAGAGGUGGCAAGCGUUGUUCGGAACUACUGGGCGUAAAGAGUCUGUAGGUGGUUUGUCAAGUCUUUGGUGAAAGGCCGUAGCUUAACUAUGGGAAUGCCAAAGAGACUGGCAGGCUGGAGGCUGGGAGAGGGAAGCGGAAUUUCUGGUGUAGCGGUGAAAUGCGUAGAUAUCAGAAGGAAGGCCGGUGGCGAAGGCGGCUUCCUGGAACAGUCCUG
RNAcentral lists this ribosomal RNA (756 nucleotides) under uncultured bacterium. RNAcentral describes it as "bacterial SSU rRNA". It matches the Rfam family "Bacterial small subunit ribosomal RNA", at positions 8 to 742 of the family's 1533-position model. The record is from RNAcentral.